This 253-nucleotide ribosomal RNA is filed under the name uncultured bacterium. RNAcentral's name for it is "partial 16S ribosomal RNA". It matches the Rfam family "Bacterial small subunit ribosomal RNA", at positions 524 to 776 of the family's 1533-position model. The record is from RNAcentral.
UACGUAGGUGGCAAGCGUUGUCCGGAUUUAUUGGGUUUAAAGGGUGCGUAGGCGGUCUUAUAAGUCAGUGCUGAAAUAUCCCGGCUUAACCGGGAGGGUGGCAUUGAUACUGUAGGACUUGAGUAGAGUUGAGGUUGGCGGAAUUGACGGUGUAGCGGUGAAAUGCAUAGAUAUCGUCAAGAACACCGAUAGCGAAGGCAGCUUACUGGGCUGUAACUGACGCUGAUGCACGAAAGUGUGGGGAUCAAACAGG